GGGAAAGGUGAAAAGUCCCCCUGUUAGGGGAGUGAAAUAGUACCUGAAACCUUUAGCAUACAAUCAGUCAGAGCCCUUCGGGGUGAUGGCGUACCUUUUGUAUAAUGGGUCAGCGACUUAAUUUCAGUAGCAAGCUUAACGUUAGGUAGGCGUAGGGAAACCGAGUCUUAAAUGGGCGAUUUAGUUUCUGGAAUUAGACCCGAAACCAAGCGAUCUAUCCAUGGUCAGGUUGAAGUGUGAGUAACAUCACAUGGAGGACCGAACCCACUUAUGUUGAAAAAUGAGGGGAUGAACUGUGGAUAGGGGUGAAAGGCCAAUCAAGCUUGGAGAUAGCUGGUUCUCUUCGAAAACUAUUUAGGUAGUGCCUCUUGUAUUACCAAUGGGGGUAGAGCACUGUUUCGGCUAGGGGGUCAUCCCGACUUACCAAACCGAUGCAAACUCCGAAUACCAUUGAGUAUAAGCAAGGGAGACAGACAGCGGGUGAUAACGUCCGUUGUCGAGAGGGAAACAACCCAGACCAACAGCUAAGGUCCCUAAUCGUGGUUAAGUGGAAAACGAUGUGAAUAGACUUAUACAGCUAGGAGGUUGGCUUAGAAGCAGCCAUCCUUUAAAGAAAGCGUAAUAGCUCACUAGUCUAGUUUGUCUGCGCGGAAGAUUUAACGGGGCUAAAUCACGAACCGAAGCUUUGGAUCAUCUUCGGAUGAUGGUAGAAGAGCGUUCUGUAAGCCUGUGAAGGUAAAUCGAGAGGUUUGCUGGAGGUAUCAGAAGUGCGAAUGCUGACAUGAGUAACGAAUAAGGAGGUGAAAAACCUCCUCGCCGGAAGACUAAGGAUUCCUGUCCAACGCUUUUCGUGGCAGGGUUAGUCGGCCCCUAAGACGUACCCGAAAGGGGAAGUCGAUGGGAAACAGGUUAAUAUUCCUGUACCAGUUGGAAGUGACGGAUCUGGUAAAUUGUAUACACUUAUUGGAUUGUGUAUGCAGUGAACAGGUUCCAAGAAAUAGCUCCAACAUAGACCGUACCACAAACCGACACAGGUGGUCAGGUAGAGAAUACCGAGGCGGAUGAGAUAACUCUGGUGAAGGAACUAGGCAAAAUGUAACCGUAACUUCGGGAGAAGGUUAGCCAAUUUUAAGGCAACUUUAAAUUGGUCGAAGAUACCAGGUGGCUGCGACUGUUUACUAAAAACACAGCACUCUGCUAACACGAAAGUGGACGUAUAGGGUGUGACGCCUGCCCGGUGCCGGAAGGUUAAAUGAUGGGGUUAGCUUCGGCAAAGCUCUUGAUUGAAGCCCCGGUAAACGGCGGCCGUAACUAUAACGGUCCUAAGGUAGCGAAAUUCCUUGUCGGGUAAGUUCCGACCUGCACGAAUGGCGUAACGAUGGCCACACUGUCUCCACCAGAGGCUCAGUGAAAUUGAAAUAGCUGUUAAGAUGCAGUUUACCCGCAGCUAGACGGAAAGACCCCGUGCACCUUUACUACAGGUUCACACUGAAUUUCGGUCAUAUUUGUGUAGGAUAGGUGGGAGACUUUGAAACUAUGACGCCAGUUGUAGUGGAGUCGUCCUUGAAAUACCACCCUUGUAAGAUUGACAUUCUAACUUUGAUUUAGUCAAGGACAGUGUGUGCUGGGUAGUUUGACUGGGGCGGUCUCCUCCUAAAGAGUAACGGAGGAGCACGAAGGUAUCCUCAACACGGUCGGACAUCGUGUGUAGAGUGCAAAAGCAAAAGGAUGCUUGACUGCGAGAUCGACGGAUCGAGCAGGUAGGAAACUAGGUUUUAGUGAUCCGGUGGUUCUGAAUGGAAGGGCCAUCGCUCAACGGAUAAAAGGUACGCCGGGGAUAACAGGCUGAUAGCGCCCAAGAGUUCAUAUCGACGGCGCUGUUUGGCACCUCGAUGUCGGCUCAUCUCAUCCUGGGGCUGGAGCAGGUCCCAAGGGUAUGGCUGUUCGCCAUUUAAAGAGGUACGCGAGCUGGGUUUAGAACGUCGUGAGACAGUUCGGUCCCUAUCUGCUGUGGGCGUUGGAGAUUUGAAGGAAGCUGCUUCUAGUACGAGAGGACCGAAGUGGACGAACCCCUGGUGGGCCGGUUGUUGCGCCAGCAGCAUUGCCGGGUAGCUAUGUUCGGAAAGGAUAACCGCUGAAAGCAUAUAAGCGGGAAGCCUCACCUAAGAUGAGAUCUCCCUUGAGAGCCGUUGAAGACGACAACGUUGAUAGGCUAGAUGUGUAAGUCCUGUAAAGGAUUCAGCUUACUAGUACUAAUUGCUCGAUCGGCUUGAAUAA
RNAcentral lists this ribosomal RNA (2277 nucleotides) under bacterium. Its description in RNAcentral is "partial 23S ribosomal RNA". It matches the Rfam family "Bacterial large subunit ribosomal RNA", at positions 507 to 2925 of the family's 2925-position model. The record is from RNAcentral.